Molecule: ribosomal RNA, 465 nt
Filed under: uncultured bacterium
Lineage: Bacteria
Description: partial 16S ribosomal RNA
Rfam family: Bacterial small subunit ribosomal RNA
Source: RNAcentral
CCUACGGGAGGCAGCAGUGAGGAAUUUUGCGCAAUGCUCGUAAGAGUGACGCAGCGACGCCGCGUGAAUGACGAAUGCCUUCGGGGCGUAAAGUUCUUUCGACCGGGAAGCAAAUGCAUAUACGUGACUGUGUAUGUAUUGACGGUACCUGUAUAAGCAGCCCCGGCUUACUCCGUGCCAGCAGCCGCGGUAAUACGGUGGGGGCGUGCGUUGUUCCGAGUGACUGGGGGUAAAGAGCACGGAGGGGGUGUUGUAAGUCAUGAGGUAAAGACUAGCGCCCAACUUUAGUAAGGCUAGUGAAACUAUAAUUCUAGAGUAGGAGAGAGGUAUGCAGAAUGCGUGGUGUAGCGGUGAAAUGCGUAGAUAUCAGGAGGAAUACCGUUAGCGAAGGCGGCAAUCUGGCUGGAAACUGACGCUGAGGUGCGAAAGCGUGGGUAGCAAACAGGAUUAGAUACCCUUGUAGUC